GAACGCUUACGCUGGGCCAAAUUCAGCCUGUGCCUCUCCACAGCCAAUCCUGCACUUGCCGGCCCCUAACUCUGUAGCUGCACACAGGGCCUGGGCACUUGAGACCUCAGACUCGCCACCGGCUCCUCAGAGCCCCUGCCCAGGUCACCUGUGUAAGGAGAACACAGUGCCAAUGCAGCACAGCAUAGUGACACCCGGCCUGCCGGGAUUUAGCCCCCACCCUACCUAGCGGUUCUGGAGCUGCCACUGUGACCCAUGCAGGGUCGAGCAUCCCAGCUUCUUGCAGAACUAUUGCUACAGGGCCAUCAGCAUGUGACACUAGGAGACUGUGCCAUGUCAUCCUUAUGUGGGUCUGGGUCACAGCCGCCCAUCUGCUGUGCUCCCUGGCUGCCUCUUUUGUGAAAAAGAAGGUGAGGAGGACCAGCGAGGAGACACGCCCACUCCAGGGGAACACCUCCUCCCACAGAGCCUUGGGAAGCUGAGAGUAGAUGUGUGCCGAUCACCACCACCUGAGGGUUCCAGGACACAGACAUCGUCAUCCCUGUUCUACAGAGGAGGAAAUGGAGCCUCCUAUGCAAAUUACAUUCUUCAUCACACCAUGGCUCUUGAAGGGCGGAGGUCUCACUGGGCUCCCUGUGUCUCAUGUCCUGCACAAGGCCUGGCUCUGAGGAGGGGCUGCACAACCUUCCUGCACAAGAAUAAAGGCGGGACCGAAGCAGUGACUGUGUGAGAGUCCAUGGAAUGCCCAGGACCAGCACUCAGGGCCUUUGUCUUCUUGUCCAAGCACCAGGGAGCAGAUAGGAGCAGCUUCGGCAAGACCCGGCUCAGUUGAAUGAAGUCGAGUGUCUUAGGUCAUGAACAGUACAGAAAGAGCUGUCCCUCUUCAGAUUCGAGCGCUGCGGGGAGGGAGGGUGUGGUGAGGGUCAUCACCUCCUGCUCCACUCCCCUGGCCAGAGCGGACUGGGCAGGGCAGCCCUGCGGAGGGGCCACUGGACAGCAGAGGUCGAGAGCAGCCUCCCUGGGGUUUGUCUGUUCCACUCUCCGGUUUUGUCAAAGAUCAUUUGAAAACUGGUCACAACAAUAUUUCCUGCUUCUUCUCAGCAGCAGUCAAGCACCCUAUCCAUGAUGUUAUAUAUAAUAAAUGGCUUUUGAUUUACUGGCAGGAAAAACAAUAUCACUACCGAUGAAAUCUUAUGCUGUGUUCUUACCAGUUAACAAGGGCAGGGUUGCUUGAUGAAGAAUCAAGUGGUUACAUGUGUUCAUUCACCAAAAGUUUAUUGAAAAACUGCUUGGGUUAUGAUCGGCCCAGGGCUAAGCACACUGAGGUGGCUGGGACACCGUCUUUGAUCUCUGGGAGCUCACAGUCUAGUUCCACUCUUUACUCUGGCCACUGGGUAGUUUAUGGCUGCAAUCUGUAACCCUUAUAAUUGAAAUAUUUGCCCC
This 1443-nucleotide long non-coding RNA is filed under the name Homo sapiens (human). RNAcentral's name for it is "HSALNT0314434". The record is from RNAcentral. Lineage: Eukaryota; Metazoa; Chordata; Mammalia; Primates; Hominidae.